GCCCUUGUAGUUUAACCGGAUAAAACGACCGCCUCCUAAGCGGUAGCUCGGGGUUCGAGUCCCUGCAGGGGCACCA
RNAcentral lists this transfer RNA (76 nucleotides) under Gammaproteobacteria bacterium. Its description in RNAcentral is "tRNA-Arg". It matches the Rfam family "tRNA". Rfam says of the family: Transfer RNA (tRNA) molecules are approximately 80 nucleotides in length. RNAcentral also lists the same sequence under 1 other name. Lineage: Bacteria; Pseudomonadati; Pseudomonadota; Gammaproteobacteria. The record is from RNAcentral.